Long non-coding RNA from Chiloscyllium plagiosum (whitespotted bambooshark), 809 nucleotides. RefSeq lists it as uncharacterized. The record is from RefSeq and is a predicted model, not a curated record. NCBI's taxonomy places the organism in Eukaryota, Metazoa, Chordata, Chondrichthyes, Orectolobiformes, Hemiscylliidae.
AAGCUGUAACAGGGGCGCAGAACCUCCGUCUUAUUUCGAAAACCAAACACAUAGACACAACGGCGCAGCACCGCCUGGGAAACGGGCUCCGAAAUCAGAUGCCAGCGGUGCUCUGAGCUGCUGUGACAGUCCGGAUGGACAUUGAGUGGAUAACCUCAAACCGUGGGAGGCCGACACACUGCCGUGGAAGGACAAGGGCACAGCUGCCAUCUGCAGGCAGCCAGGGGCCUGGGAUGGACUGAGGCAGGCAAAGAGUGUGGUGGAAGUCUGAACUUGUCUGAAUGGGUGGUGGAGUCAGAAGCCUUCAUCCCAUUUAAAACAACUUGAUAUGGCCUUGAGGUCCUGUAACCUUUGGAACUAAUGACCAACAGCUGGAAAGUAGGUCCGAAACUGAGGUCCACAGGAAAGCUGUUGACAGUUUGGAACAAACUGGAGGGUGGGCUCAGAGUGUGGCAGCCACACGUGGGUGGUGGGGAGCCCUCAGGAUGGGAUGACGAUCUCCUCAUUAUCUGAAGCUCAUAUUGUACAGUUUGACCUUCUCCGUCACCCUAAAUUCAGAUGUCUACCUAAACCAGUCCAUGAUGUGUAGGUGCCGGUGUUGGACUGGGGUGGAAAAAAUUAAAAAUCAGCAAGGAUCAGCGCUUCGAAAGCUAGUACUUCCAAAUAAACCUGUUGGACUGUAACCUGGUAUUGUGUGAUUUUUAACUUAAACCAGUCCAUGUCAGACUCUGCAUCCUUCCACCUGAGCAGCGUUAAAUUCCUUGAUUCCCUCUUGUUGCUAAUGAAACUACCAUGCUUUCAAUAUUUUG